GAUGAAGAACGCAGCGAAAUGCGAUACGUAAUGUGAAUUGCAGAAUUCAGUGAAUCAUCGAAUCUUUGAACGCAUAUUGCGCUCUCUGGUAUUCCGGAGAGCAUGCUUGUUUGAGUAUCAGUAAACACCUCAACUUCCAUAUCUUUUUGGAAAUGGGAGUUGGACUUGAGUGAUCCCAACGCUUUUCCUCACCGAAAAGUGGCGGGUUACUUGAAAUGCAGGUGCAGCUGGACUUUUCUCUGAGCUAUAAGCAUAUCUAUUUAGUCUGCCUAAAAAACAGAUUAUUCCCUUUGCUGCAGCUAACAUAAAGGAGAUUAGUUCUUGUGCUGACUGAUGCAGGAUUCACAAAGACAGGCUUCGGCCGACUUUGUAAACUCGAUCUCAAAUCAAGUAAGACUACCCGCUGAACUUAAGCAUAUCAAUAAGCGGAGGA
RNAcentral lists this unclassified non-coding RNA (433 nucleotides) under soil metagenome. RNAcentral describes it as "partial contains 5.8S ribosomal RNA, internal transcribed spacer 2, and large subunit ribosomal RNA". The stretch from base 1 to 120 matches the Rfam family "5.8S ribosomal RNA", at positions 35 to 154 of the family's 154-position model. The record is from RNAcentral.